This 497-nucleotide ribosomal RNA is filed under the name uncultured bacterium. Its description in RNAcentral is "partial 16S ribosomal RNA". It matches the Rfam family "Bacterial small subunit ribosomal RNA", at positions 28 to 507 of the family's 1533-position model. The record is from RNAcentral.
GAUGAACGCUGGCGGCGUGCCUAAUACAUGCAAGUCGAGCGAACAGACGAGGAGCUUGCUCCUCUGACGUUAGCGGCGGACGGGUGAGUAACACGUGGAUAACCUACCUAUAAGACUGGGAUAACUUCGGGAAACCGGAGCUAAUACCGGAUAAUAUAUUGAACCGCAUGGUUCAAUAGUGAAAGACGGUUUUGCUGUCACUUAUAGAUGGAUCCGCGCCGCAUUAGCUAGUUGGUAAGGUAACGGCUUACCAAGGCAACGAUGCGUAGCCGACCUGAGAGGGUGAUCGGCCACCCUGGAACUGAGACACGGUCCAGACUCCUACGGGAGGCAGCAGUAGGGAAUCUUCCGCAAUGGGCGAAAGCUUGACGGAGCAACGCCGCGGGAGUGAUGAAGGUCUUCGGAUCGUAAAACUCUGUUAUUAGGGAAGAACAAAUGUGUAAGUAACUAUGCACGUCUUGACGGUACCUAAUCAGAAAGCCACGGCUAACUACGUG